CACUGUUUCUACUGUGGCCUCCCACUCCCUAUCUCCUGACCCUCCCACCACACACACACACACACACACACACACACACACACACACACACGGUAGGCAAUACUUCACAUUCACCAGCUUCCAAGGCAUGCUACACAGAUUCUUUGCGAAGCAAAUUCUAAAUGAUAGCCCAUCCCACUUGUUAGAGAAAUUUUAUAACAUCUCCAGUACUUUUUCAUGCUGACGUGUUAAAUAAGUCAAUACUAACCUUAAAUUUAACACUAUUCAUUAUUAACAUAUCCACUCAUUGGCAAGAAAUACAAGAUAAAACUCCUAUAAUUUGACCUUUUAUGAGGAAUGCAUCAUAACUCACUUUGGGCAAUGCUGAGGAAAAGAGAGUCAGCCAAUUACGCAAGCACUACACUGAAUAUUAAAGACACCGUGGCAAGCAGGAUUUUUGGUGUAUACGAGAAGAGAGCUGAUACAUGGAUAAAAUAAUACGUGUUGUGUCCAGUGAAGAGAAGUGGUGUGAACAGAAAAAGUGCAGAUCCAGGCGGAAUAAGGGCAUUAGAACAGUGGUUACUGCUUCAACGGUGUCAUCAGGAGAGACCCCUGAGCAGAGACUGGAAGGAAGUGGAAUGAAAGUGCCAUCUUCACGGUUCCAGAAGGACUAUCCCAAGCACCAUCUCCUUAUUGCUGUGAAUGUUAACUUCCAGACCUUCUGAUACAAAAUGAAAGCAAAUAUUGGCCGCGUAGCCUCUCUGUACCUUCAUUCCCAGCUCCACUCCCAACAUGAUCUUAGGAAGAGAGGCCAUGCAAACGGAACAAGAUGCACAUUGCUCCUAUGUAGUGUUGGAACUGACCCUGAAGCCUGGGUCUGGUGGCUCGAGUCACUGAAAACAGAGGCAAAUGAAUUUACAAGGCAAUGACUUGAGGCUUCUGACUGCAUUUUACACAUAUACAUAUACAUGUUAUUUAUCUUGAAGUUUGCCAGAGCCUAUCUGUGGGUAGAGAAUAAAGCCCAGGAUGUGAUCUUACCGUUAAAUACACAGGCAUCCGACACUGGCUAUCUAGUGCA
This is a long non-coding RNA of Myodes glareolus (Bank vole), 1057 nucleotides long. RefSeq lists it as uncharacterized. NCBI's taxonomy places the organism in Eukaryota, Metazoa, Chordata, Mammalia, Rodentia, Cricetidae. The record is from RefSeq and is a predicted model, not a curated record.